RNAcentral lists this non-coding RNA (249 nucleotides) under Anaerobacillus arseniciselenatis. RNAcentral describes it as "T-box sequence". It matches the Rfam family "T-box leader". Rfam says of the family: Uncharged tRNA acts as the effector for transcription antitermination of genes in the T-box leader family. The record is from RNAcentral. Lineage: Bacteria; Bacillati; Bacillota; Bacilli; Caryophanales; Bacillaceae.
AAAAAGGCGAAGACAGGGACAGUACUUUUACAAGUUCUUUUUUAGCGAAUCAGGGACGGUGCAAGCCUGGUAAGAAGUUGUAAAAUAGGAAAAUCACCCUUAAGCCUCACACCGAACAAUACUUUUAGCGUUUAAUUUGCAAAGUUUUAAGUAGGCUGUGACGAGUCAUUCACGUUACGGAUUAAAAGUGAACAGUACAAAAAACUGUUUAUUAGGGUGGUACCGCGGGUAAACCUUCUCGUCCCUUUA